This 441-nucleotide ribosomal RNA is filed under the name Triticum aestivum (bread wheat). RNAcentral's name for it is "partial small subunit ribosomal RNA". The record is from RNAcentral. Lineage: Eukaryota; Viridiplantae; Streptophyta; Magnoliopsida; Poales; Poaceae.
AUGACAGUUUUCUUGAGGGCAAGGCGGGGCACCGUCUGUGCAGGCGACGGCAGCAGGAGCGGCGGAGCGCCACAAUACCCGAGCACAACCUUGGUCGGACCGCCCCGCGACACCCCACGCGGAGCGCGGCGGCGGCGAGCGGUCCGGGAGCUCAAGGAGGCCCUUUUGCCAGCCGGCGUGACUGCGAGAGUGCCCGAGCUACCACGCCGAGGUGGCAGCCCGCUCUCCACGCAGGUCACAGCCAGACGAGCCGGAGGCUCCCGGCGCACGAUCGGCUGGUCCGCGGCCACGUCGUCAGCCUCCGCGAAACGCAGCUCCGAGGCCAGCGCGGGGGUCGGGGUGGGGGGACUCACUGACAUCUGCAUGUGCGAAAAAGAAAGUCGAAUGGACUUCAUCCUACCUGGGUGUGCACCUUCACGAGAAAAGAAUCCGCCUAGCUAA